RNAcentral lists this transfer RNA (72 nucleotides) under Ovis aries (sheep). It matches the Rfam family "tRNA". Rfam says of the family: Transfer RNA (tRNA) molecules are approximately 80 nucleotides in length. Their secondary structure includes four short double-helical elements and three loops (D, anti-codon, and T loops). Further hydrogen bonds mediate the characteristic L-shaped molecular structure. tRNAs have two regions of fundamental functional importance: the anti-codon, which is responsible for specific mRNA codon recognition, and the 3' end, to which the tRNAs corresponding amino acid is attached (by aminoacyl-tRNA synthetases). tRNAs cope with the degeneracy of the genetic code in two manners: having more than one tRNA (with a specific anti-codon) for a particular amino acid; and 'wobble' base-pairing, i.e. permitting non-standard base-pairing at the 3rd anti-codon position. Lineage: Eukaryota; Metazoa; Chordata; Mammalia; Artiodactyla; Bovidae. The record is from Rfam by way of RNAcentral.
UCCCUGGUGGCUCAGACGGUAAAGCGUCUGCCUAUAAUGUGGGAGACCCGGGUUUGAUCCCUGGUUCGGGAA